Molecule: long non-coding RNA, 677 nt
Organism: Myzus persicae (green peach aphid)
Lineage: Eukaryota; Metazoa; Arthropoda; Insecta; Hemiptera; Aphididae
Exons: 3
Source: RefSeq, a predicted model, not a curated record
CGAAAAUAAUGCUGUCAUACUUUUGUCGGUAUGGUUGUUUAAUUGAUAAGGUAACUUGCUGAUCAUUGAAUCAAAAGCCGGACAUUUUCCCCUCUCAUCAAAUAACUGCAGAAAAUGUUCAGGACCUAGACAGCUGCACUGGAGUUACACAUUCGAAGGCGCAAUAGAAUCAAUAAUCUAAUGGUGCAUACAGCAAUAAGCAAUAAGCAUUUGAGUGUGCAAUCAUAAAGGGGUGACGCACACAUCUCUCCACGUACCUAUGUGUACACAUUUAUAUCUUAUAUCAUAAAAAAAGACUUUCAAUAUUUAUAAUUGUUGAGGAUUUGGAGUAUGUAUGGAGAAUAUUUUUCAAACAAAUAUAAAUGUUUGACAAUUUGACAUUUUUACGAGUGAAGAGGUUUUGUUGACAAUAUAUGAACAAUCGUGCAGCUGCUGUAGAAUGUAAGCAACUACAACAGGUUAACACAUUUUUCUUCUUAUUUUUUCAAAUCCAAACUUCGCGUCAGACAUCAGGAUGUGCACGUUUAAAAAAAUGUACAAUGGUCGUAGCCAUAAGCCCAUAACUCUCAGCCAUAUGCAAAUAAGUAACAAGGUAUAAAAUAUAUUAGGUUAUCACUUAUCCGCAAAGCAAAUAUUUUUUUUAUUUCUGUUUUUGUAAUAAUGUCAAUUUUGGAUUA